CUAUAUGAAGACAAAACGCUGUGCACCAGUCAGAGUACUCAAAAUAUGAUCGAUACAGUAUACCCAUUAUUUCUGAUA
Molecule: small nucleolar RNA, 78 nt
Filed under: Candidozyma auris
Lineage: Eukaryota; Fungi; Ascomycota; Pichiomycetes; Serinales; Metschnikowiaceae
Source: RNAcentral